Heterocephalus glaber (naked mole-rat) is the source of this 583-nucleotide long non-coding RNA. The record is from Ensembl. NCBI's taxonomy places the organism in Eukaryota, Metazoa, Chordata, Mammalia, Rodentia, Bathyergidae.
CGGAGGAGGAGGAGAGAAACAGCAAGCCCUUCACCCUAAUGGAGAAACUGAGGCUGGGGUAGCUCCUGGGGCAGGCCCUGGCCCAUGUGUGAGUCGUUGCAGCGAAGCUCAGAUCUCCGGAGGGACAGCCUCUCCAUUUGCCUUACCAGAAAAAAUGAGACAUGAAGAAAAUAAAGGAAAAUGUUACCAUCUGUUAAUCUAAUGAGCGGACCAUCACAUUUGUUAUAUCCUUUUUGUAUGAUUAUAUAUUUAAUAUUUUAAAAUAAAUAUAUAAAAUAGUGAAUGGACUUAAAAUCUAAUAUAUUUUAUUAGCAUUGAGUUUUUGUAGAAAAUCUGGGGAUUUUAUGGCUAAUAAUAGAGGAAAAUGAUGAAUUUUAAACGUUAUGGUGUUGGAUACCUGAUGUGAUACCUCUCAAGUGUAACAACAGGUCUCAUCCCAGUGAGAAUCGUAGAAGAUCUUUGCAGUAGGUUUGUAUACUGACAGCCUAUACGUGUGCCCUGGGAGGAGCGUGUCUGGAUUCUUCACACCAUUUAGCCACCAUUCCAAAACUUGGCUAGCCAAAAAAUAACAUUUGAAGAUAGG